This 424-nucleotide ribosomal RNA is filed under the name Verrucomicrobiota bacterium. RNAcentral describes it as "Verrucomicrobia bacterium partial 16S ribosomal RNA". It matches the Rfam family "Bacterial small subunit ribosomal RNA", at positions 355 to 776 of the family's 1533-position model. The record is from RNAcentral. Lineage: Bacteria; Pseudomonadati; Verrucomicrobiota.
UGAGGAAUAUUGGUCAAUGGGCGAGAGCCUGAACCAGCCAAGUAGCGUGCAGGAUGACGGCCCUAUGGGUUGUAAACUGCUUUUAUAUGGGAAUAAAGUGAGGGACGUGUCCCUUAUUGCAUGUACCAUACGAAUAAGGACCGGCUAAUUCCGUGCCAGCAGCCGCGGUAAUACGGAAGGUUCGGGCGUUAUCCGGAUUUAUUGGGUUUAAAGGGAGCGUAGGCCGUUUGGUAAGCGUGUUGUGAAAUGUAGGAGCUCAACUUCUAGAUUGCAGCGCGAUCUGUCAGACUUGAGUGCGCACAACGUAGGCGGAAUUCAUGGUGUAGCGGUGGAAUGCUUAGAUAUCAUGAAGAACUCCGAUUGCGAAGGCAGCUUACGGGAGCGCAACUGACGCUGAAGCUCGAAGGUGCGGGUAUCGAACAGG